AUGGAGGGUUGUGCCAAAAAAUGCAAGGAAGAUGCCAAAAAACGACAGAAAAUGUCAAAAUUUUGGGAAAGUGACCCGAAACCUACAGAAAGAGACCUGAAUCUUAUGGAUAAUGACCCAAAUCCUAGGGAUAAUGACCCAAAUCUUAUGUAUAAAGACCGAAAUCCUAGGGAUAGAGAGCAGGAACCUACAGAUAGCGACCAGAAUCCUAUGGAAAGUGACCUGGACCUUAUGGAUAAUGACCAGGAACCUAUGGAUAGCGACCAGAAUCCUAUAGAAAGCGACCUAGUGGAUAACGACCAGAAAUCUAUGGGUAGAGACCACAAACUUAUGGACAGAGACCGCAAACCCAUUGAUAACCAUGAAAAACCUAUGGAUAUCUACCAGAAAUCUAUGGGUAACCAUGAAAAACUUACAAACAGCCACCAGAAAUCUAUGGGUAACCAUGAAAAACCUAUGGAGAGCCACCAGAAAUCUAUGGAUAACCAUGAAAAACCUAUGGAGAGCCACCAGAAAUCUAUGAUAACCAUGAAAAACCUAUGGAGAGACACCAGAAAUCUACGGAUAACCAUGAAAAACCUACGGAGAGCCACCAGAAAUCCAUGGGUAACCAUGAAAAACUUACAAAUCGCCACUAGAAACCUAUGGAUAACCGUGAAAAACCUAUGGAGAGCCACCAGAAACCUACUGAUAACGACUUGAAACCUACAGACAGUGACGAGUAACCUAGGGCCAGCCACUAGAAACCUAUGGAAAAUGCCCCACUGAUGGAGAAACACCUUUUUGCUGUAGUGGAGGACCCUGUGGCCCCCAAGGGAUGUAUAGGAUCCCCACCCCGGGUCUCUAUAGGGGACACCCAGGACCCACAGGGUACUCCCAUGGGUUCCUAUAGGGAUCUCUAUGGGAUCCUACAGCGUGGAGCUCUAUAGGUUCCCCUCUCUGAAGGACACAACGUAGGGAUCCCUCCCCCCACAGGGAACCCCCUAUAGGGCCCCAAGGGUGCACAGCAGCCCCUAUAGGGCCACGCAGGGAGAGUUUUCCAACCCCACAGGGCCCACACAGCGCUUUCCCCCAUUCGCACCGCGUGUGGGGGAAGGGGGGGGGUGAGGGGAACCACACGGCCCCAAACCGCUUUCACACCCCCACCGCCCCCUACACGGACCCCGACCCCCCACCCCGGGGCAGCCCCCACAGCCGGGCCGCGUAAUUCCCGCGGGAUAUGGAGGAAAUUGGGGUGGGGGAAGGGGGGAGGUUCACUCACAGCUUCACCACAUUCUGUACCACCGCCGCCAUUUUCCCUCCGCCGCCGCCGGAGCAAUGCGCUGCGCGCAUGCGCGGGGAGCGGCAGCGCUGCGCCUGCGCAAAAUGGCGGCGCCCUUCCCCCCCCCCGCUUCCCCGCCUUUUCCCAGAGCGUCCGCAGGGGGGGGGGGGGGGGUGAGGAGUUUUGCGCAUGCGCAGGGGAAAAGGCGGGAAGGCGGUGAGGUGCGAAGAGGCGGGAAAAUCUGAAGGGAAGGGGGAAAAUCGGAAGAAAAAAGAGGGUAAUGUAGAGGAGAAUGGGGAAAUAUGAGGGAGGAUGUGGAGGAAAGGGGGGGAAUUGGAAGGAUAAAGGGGAAAUAUAGAGGAGAAUGGGAAAAGGUGAGGGAGGAUAUGAAGGAAAGGGGGGAAAUUGAAAAGGUAAUGGGGAGAAUAUGGGGGAAAAUGG
Molecule: long non-coding RNA, 1702 nt
Organism: Numida meleagris (helmeted guineafowl)
Lineage: Eukaryota; Metazoa; Chordata; Aves; Galliformes; Numididae
Source: Ensembl